GGGCCUAUAGCUCAGCUGGUUUAGAGCGCACGCCUGAUAAGCGUGAGGUCGAUGGUUCGAGUCCAUUUAGNNNAGGUCGAUGGUUCGAGUCCAUUUAGGCCCA
This 103-nucleotide transfer RNA is filed under the name Ligilactobacillus salivarius. RNAcentral's name for it is "tRNA-Ile". It matches the Rfam family "tRNA". Rfam says of the family: Transfer RNA (tRNA) molecules are approximately 80 nucleotides in length. Their secondary structure includes four short double-helical elements and three loops (D, anti-codon, and T loops). Lineage: Bacteria; Bacillati; Bacillota; Bacilli; Lactobacillales; Lactobacillaceae. The record is from RNAcentral.